Molecule: ribosomal RNA, 154 nt
Filed under: uncultured bacterium
Lineage: Bacteria
Description: partial 16S ribosomal RNA
Source: RNAcentral
CACGUAGUUAGCCGUGGCUUAUUCAGAGGGUACCGUCACGCUUGGCUAUUCACCAAGCCAUUCUUCCCCUCCAAAAGGAGUUUACAAUCCGAAGACCUUCAUCCUCCACGCGGCGUCGCUGGAUCAGGGUUGCCCCAUUGUCCAAAAUUCCCCA